Molecule: ribosomal RNA, 465 nt
Filed under: uncultured bacterium
Lineage: Bacteria
Description: partial 16S ribosomal RNA
Rfam family: Bacterial small subunit ribosomal RNA
Source: RNAcentral
GACGAACGCUGGCGGCGUGCUUAACACAUGCAAGUCGUACGGUAAGGCCCUUUCGGGGGUACACGAGUGGCGAACGGGUGAGUAACACGUGAGUAACCUGCCCACAACUUUGGGAUAACGCUAGGAAACUGGUGCUAAUACUGGAUAUGUGCUCCUGCUGCAUGGUGGGGGUUGGAAAGCUCCGGCGGUUGUGGAUGGACUCGCGGCCUAUCAGCUUGUUGGUGGGGUAGUGGCCUACCAAGGCGGCGACGGGUAGCCGGCCUGAGGGGGUGACCGGCCACAUUGGGACUGAGAUACGGCCCAGACUCCUACGGGAGGCAGCAGUGGGGAAUAUUGCACAAUGGGCGCAAGCCUGAUGCAGCAACGCCGCGUGCGGGAUAACGGCCUUCGGGUUGUAAACCGCUUUCAGCAGGGACGAAGCUUUUUGUGACGGUACCUGCAGAAGAAGCACCGGCUAACUACGUG